Long non-coding RNA from Medicago truncatula (barrel medic), 516 nucleotides. RefSeq lists it as uncharacterized. The record is from RefSeq and is a predicted model, not a curated record. The transcript has 2 exons. NCBI's taxonomy places the organism in Eukaryota, Viridiplantae, Streptophyta, Magnoliopsida, Fabales, Fabaceae.
AGGUAAUAUAUAUCUAGGUGAAGAUUGUAAUAAAUAAGUGGUAAUAAUCAUGAACAAAGCUCGCUUUGGAUUUUUCUUCAUUCUACUUAUUCUUCUUACUUUUGAGAUGGUGGUACAAACCGAAGGACGAAAGCAUUGUAGGGAAAAGAGUCGUCUGUUUGAAGAGUUGUGUUUCAAUAGUGAAGAUUGCGCUAACACUUGUCGCUAUGAAGGUUUUCAUCUAGGUGGUAAAUGUUGGGGAUUGUUUAGAACCUGCUACUGCAAAAAAAAAUGUCGGUAACAUAAGUUGCUGCUCACACGUACUCCGGAUGGUGUUUCUCUUAUUGUUAUGUUUUAUUUGGUUGAAACAAUAUGAAUUUUAAGUUUUAACCAAUAAAAAUAUAUUGAAAAGUGUGUAUGUGUUGGUAGUACCACUCUUAUACUUCUUCCUUCAAUUGUCUAUUUAGCGAUUUUUCUUUGUCUCAAAAUAAUUGACAUUUUAAAAUAUCAAUAUACUCUGCAUUUAUUAUUUCUCUA